UGGCGAACGGGUGAGUAACACGUGGGUGAUCUGCCCUGCACUUCGGGAUAAGCUUGGGAAUCUGGGUCUAAUACCGGAUAGGAGCCAUCUUUAGUGUGGUGGUUGGAAAGUUUUUUCGGUGUAGGAUGAGCUCGCGGCCUAUCAGCUUGUUGGUGGGGUAAUGGCCUACCAAGGCGGCGACGGGUAGCCGGCCUGAGAGGGUGUACGGCCACAUUGGGACUGAGAUACGGCCCAG
RNAcentral lists this ribosomal RNA (235 nucleotides) under uncultured Actinomycetales bacterium. RNAcentral's name for it is "partial 16S ribosomal RNA". It matches the Rfam family "Bacterial small subunit ribosomal RNA", at positions 96 to 334 of the family's 1533-position model. The record is from RNAcentral. Lineage: Bacteria; Bacillati; Actinomycetota; Actinomycetes; Actinomycetales.